UGCACCGGAGAUGAGCAGGGAAACAGCACUGAGUGGGGGAAAAGCCCCCACCGUGGAAGGAGUGAUAAAGAGAAAGGCAGGGACUUCAAAGCAGUUGGAAACAAGUGGGGUGUGAACUGGGGCCCAGCUCGUGCCCUGAGCGAGUGGUGGGGCUGAUGGCAACACAGGGCCAUAGCAGCAGCUGCAGCUCCUCAGUCCUCCUGCAGUCCCCCUGUCAGGAUAACUCUUCUCUCCCUCCAUCCAUUCAGGAGUUGGACUCCAGGAUCCUUACGGGUCCCUCACCCAUGACACUCCCCCAUACAGAACAGUCAAAGACCACAACAUCUGCUCCAUGAGGUGCAGCCCAGGAGCUAUUCCUCCCUGCGAGGCUGUGGGCAUUACUGCUGGCAUCAUCUGUCCCAUCACAAAGGGACAGCUUACAUCACCCCCCCGAGUAGCUGCAGAGAACCACGAAAGGAUGGGAGAUGAGACGGCUCCCAGGGUGAUUUGCUAUCAUGCCCUCUGAGAGCUGCUGAAACAUGGGAGCUGCAGGAAGCAGCAGUGAUGUAACCACCAUCUCGGUAGCAGCAGAGCAGGAGGGAUGGAGCAGAAGCCCUUUGCCAGCCAGGAUGGACCAUUGGCAGAACCACCUCCUUCCCUAAUUUGCUCACCUGGAGCACGUGCCCGGACCUCCAGGAGCUGUGUGGGACGAGACAGCUCUGUGCUGUGCAACAAACAUCAGCAGAGCUGCGGAGCGCUUCCACUCCCAGCUCCACCACCCCCUGAUUGACACCCUGUAAUAAAGAGAUUUACC
Molecule: long non-coding RNA, 793 nt
Filed under: Gallus gallus (chicken)
Lineage: Eukaryota; Metazoa; Chordata; Aves; Galliformes; Phasianidae
Description: long non-coding RNA NONGGAT002556
Source: RNAcentral